Long non-coding RNA from Etheostoma cragini (Arkansas darter), 109 nucleotides. RefSeq lists it as uncharacterized. The transcript is spliced from 3 exons. Lineage: Eukaryota; Metazoa; Chordata; Actinopteri; Perciformes; Percidae. The record is from RefSeq and is a predicted model, not a curated record.
UCACACAAAUGUCAGAUAAGGCCAAGGAUGAUUGGGAAUGUCUUACUGCUUGUCUACCGAAUCUCUGGGAUCUCCGUUUUCUUUCUUUUUAAAUCAUGACGCCAUUGAU